RNAcentral lists this long non-coding RNA (517 nucleotides) under Brachypodium distachyon (stiff brome). Its description in RNAcentral is "long non-coding RNA (BDIS_LNC005997)". Lineage: Eukaryota; Viridiplantae; Streptophyta; Magnoliopsida; Poales; Poaceae. The record is from RNAcentral.
UGGAAUACCUGAAUUGCAAAGGUUACAUUGAGGGCUCGACCAUGAGUAUAUAACAGAUUAAUGAUGUAACAUAAAACAUGAUGGAUCAUUAUAGUACAAAACAGUAUAAUGAUCCAUGGACCAUGAGUAUAUAGCAGAUUAAUGAUCCAUACACUCAACAACAAAGGUUACAUUGAGGGCUCGGACCAUGAGUAUAAUACAACACAGUAAAGUAAAACUGUUUGUGAAAAACAACGUUGUUGAAGCAAAGAUCUUAAAAAAAGUGCUGGGAACUCAAAUUAGCGUCUACUCAUCCACACACACAUGAUGGGAGUUUCUAUAACUGAACUUAUUGGAUAGUAGUGACCUUGAAUAUAUAUUGGCCUAAGAGUAGGCUGGAAACUCAAAUAGCAUGUCAUUCACACAAAUGAUGGAGUUUCUAUAACUGAACUUAUCGGAUAAUAGUGAUCUAGAAUAUACACAGGCGUAAGAGCAGGCUGAAAACUCAAAUAGCAUUUAGUCAUUCACACACACACAC